This 89-nucleotide small nucleolar RNA is filed under the name Hanseniaspora osmophila. RNAcentral's name for it is "Small nucleolar RNA snR54". It matches the Rfam family "Small nucleolar RNA snR54". Rfam says of the family: snR54 is a member of the C/D class of snoRNA which contain the C (UGAUGA) and D (CUGA) box motifs. Most of the members of the box C/D family function in directing site-specific 2'-O-methylation of substrate RNAs. The record is from Rfam by way of RNAcentral. Lineage: Eukaryota; Fungi; Ascomycota; Saccharomycetes; Saccharomycodales; Saccharomycodaceae.
UUAAAUGAUGCUGAUUUCAAUUUAUAACUUUCGUUCUACUGAAUUUUUGAUCAAACGAUCUUGUAGACACUUUAUUAUUUUUACUGAUA